Molecule: ribosomal RNA, 1975 nt
Filed under: gut metagenome
Description: bacterial LSU rRNA
Rfam family: Bacterial large subunit ribosomal RNA
Source: RNAcentral
GAAAGUAAUUAAGGGCGAAUGGGGGAUGCCUAGGCUCUUGGAGGCGAAGAAGGACGUGGUAAGCUGCGAAAAGCUGCGGGGAUUUGCAAACGAGAUUUGAUCCGCAGAUAUCCGAAUGGGACAACCCGGCUGGCAGGAGGCCAGUCACACCGUAAGGUGGGCUAACCCUCUGAACUGAAACAUCUAAGUAGGAGGAGGAGAAGAAAGAAACAUCGAUUUCCUGAGUAGCGGCGAGCGAAAGGGAAGAAGCCUAAACCGACGUUGUUACGGCAAUGUCGGGGUUGUAGGACUGCGGGAUUCGAUACUAAGAGAACCGGAACGGUUUUGGAAAAGCCGGCCGAAGAGCAUGAAAGCUGCGUACGGGUAAUCGAGGUAAAGAAGGCAGUAUCCUGAGUAGGGCGGGACACGAGGAAUCCUGUCUGAAUCUGCCGGGACCACCCGGUAAGGCUAAAUACUACCAAGAGACCGAUAGUGAACCAGUACUGUGAAGGAAAGGUGAAAAGUACCCCGAACAGGGGAGUGAAAUAGAACCUGAAACCGUUCGCCUACAAUCGGUCGGAGCCACUUCGUGUGGUGACGUCGUGCCUUUUGCAUAAUGAGCCUACGAGUUACUGAUCACUAGCGAGGUUAAGUGGCGAUAGUCACGGAGCCGAAGCGAAAGCGAGUCUGAAUAGGGCGUAUAGUUAGUGGUCGUAGACGCGAAACCUUGCGAUCUACCCUUGGCCAAGAUGAAGUUCGGGUAACACCGAAUGGAGGUCUGCACCGAUAAGCGUUGAAAAGCUUCCGGAUGAGCUGAGGGUAGGGGUGAAAGGCUAAUCAAGCUGGGAAAUAGCUCGUACUCCCCGAAAUGCUUUUAGGAGCAGCGUUUUAAUAGUCUACUGGAGGUAGAGCUACUGAUUGGAUGCGGGGGCUUCACCGCCUACCAAAUCCUGACAAACUCCGAAUGCCAGUAGAAUGAUUUAGAGCAGUGAGCGGCUGGGUGCUAAUGUCCGGCCACGAGAGAGGAACAACUCAGACCAGCAGCUAAGGCCCCGAAGAGUAUACUAAGUUGAACUAACGAUGUGCGACUGCAGCGACAGCUAGGAUGUUAGCUUGGAAGCAGCUAUUCAUUUAAAGAGUGCGUAACAGCUCACUAGUCGAGCGGUUGUGCGUGGAUAAUAAACGGGCAUCAAGUAUACCGCCGAAGCUCUGGGAUCUACGGAUCGGUAGGGGAGCAUUCCAUUCGCGUCGAAGUUGUAGCGUGAGCUAUGGUGGAGCGUAUGGAAAAGCAAAUGUAGGCAUAAGUAACGAUAAGGCGGGCGAGAAACCCGCCCACCGCAAGACCAAGGUUUCCUGAUCAACGUUAAUCGGAUCAGGGUUAGUCGGGACCUAAGGAUAAGCCGAAAGGUGAUUUCGAUGGACAAUCGGUUAAUAUUCCGAUACUGAUAUGGACUGCGACGGAGAGACGAAGGGGCGUAAGCCACGCCAACUGACGGAAUAGUUGGUUAAAGGAUGUAGGUAAAUCGGGAGGUUAAGAGCUUUCUGAUGCUGAAAUCCGACAGUACCGCGAGCCUACGGGUGAGCGGAUAGUUGGCCCAAGCGGACUUCCGAGAAAAACUUCUAAGCUUCAGGUUCAUAUCACCCGUACCGUAAACCGACACAGGUGGUCGAGGAGAGUAUCCUAAGGUGCUCGAGUGAUUCACGGUUAAGGAACUAGGCAAAUUAACCCCGUAACUUCGGAAUAAGGGGUCCCAUUGAGAGAUGGGCGCAGCGAAGAGGUCCAGGCGACUGUUUAGCAAAAACACAGGGCUCUGCAAAUUCGAAAGAAGACGUAUAGGGCCUGACACCUGCCCGGUGCUGGAAGGUUAAGAGGGGAUGUCAUCGCAAGAGAAGCAUUGAAUCGAAGCCCCAGUAAACGGCGGCCGUAACUAUAACGGUCCUAAGGUAGCGAAAUUCCUUGUCGGGUAAGUUCCGACCUGCACGAAUGGUGUAACGA